RNAcentral lists this long non-coding RNA (572 nucleotides) under Sarcophilus harrisii (Tasmanian devil). RNAcentral describes it as "lncRNA (ENSSHAG00000031844.1)". The record is from RNAcentral. Lineage: Eukaryota; Metazoa; Chordata; Mammalia; Dasyuromorphia; Dasyuridae.
GAAAUGCCAAAGCUGGAGGAGGGGAUGCCAGGAGGCUGUGGCUUCAGGCCUAGAGAGUCCAUGUGGCUGACCUCAGAAAGAACAGGACAAGGCCUUGUCACAUAAGCAGAAGCAGCUUGUGCAUGACGAGGUAGGGCUGCUUGGUUAUAAGUUUCUUCUCCGGUAACAGUGAAAACAUCCUUAGCCCCAGGGGAGAGUGAACAGUGGACGGGCUCUGACCCGCAGGAAUGCCAAACUUUUAUGAUGAGUCCCUUGGUCAAGACUUCCUGCCAUCACCAACUUCCAAUCCUGGCUCAGAUACUUACGGGGUGAAUGACCCCUAGCAUUAUGUGGCCAUGAAAAAAAAAACCACAUUGGAUUGGAAGACGUUCAUUUGAACCCCAAAUAAACUCCUGGCUCCCCUUCAUUUAGAGCUGGGUAUCCUGAAACCAAUUUCUUGGACUCAACCUUGGUUUCCUUCUUUACAAAAUGGGAUGUCUCAUACUGCCUCCUUCCAUGAGCUUUUGUGAGGAAACCCUUAAAGAACGAUGUGGAAGUUUCAUGCCCAGUUCCACAACAGACCUAUUUUAGCC